GCCGCCAUCGUCUAGCGGCCUAGGACAUCUGGUUUUCAGCCAGAGAAUCGGGAGUUCGAAUCUCCCUGGCGGCA
This 74-nucleotide transfer RNA is filed under the name Candidatus Shapirobacteria bacterium CG_4_10_14_0_8_um_filter_39_15. RNAcentral's name for it is "tRNA-Glu". It matches the Rfam family "tRNA". Rfam says of the family: Transfer RNA (tRNA) molecules are approximately 80 nucleotides in length. Their secondary structure includes four short double-helical elements and three loops (D, anti-codon, and T loops). Lineage: Bacteria; Candidatus Shapironibacteriota. RNAcentral also lists the same sequence under 2 other names. The record is from RNAcentral.